Molecule: ribosomal RNA, 601 nt
Filed under: uncultured bacterium
Lineage: Bacteria
Description: bacterial SSU rRNA
Rfam family: Bacterial small subunit ribosomal RNA
Source: RNAcentral
GCUUACCAGCAUGCAACUGACACUGAGGCACGAAAGCGUGGGUAUCAAACAGGAUUAGAUACCCUGGUAGUCCACGCAGUAAACGAUGAAUACUAGCUGUUGGCGAUAUAUGGUCAGCGGUACAGCGAAAGUGUUAAGUAUUCCACCUGGGGAGUACGCCGGCAACGGUGAAACUCAAAGGAAUUGACGGGGGCCCGCACAAGCGGAGGAACAUGUGGUUUAAUUCGAUGAUACGCGAGGAACCUUACCCGGGCUUGAAAGUUAGUGACGGACUGUGAAAGCGGUCUUCCCUUCGGGGCACGAAACUAGGUGCUGCAUGGUUGUCGUCAGCUCGUGCCGUGAGGUGUCGGCUUAAGUGCCAUAACGAGCGCAACCCUUGCCGUUAGUUGCCAGCGGGUAAUGCCGGGAACUCUAGCGGGACUGCUACUGUAAGGUAGAGGAAGGUGGGGAUGACGUCAAAUCAGCACGGCCCUUACGUCCGGGGCGACACACGUGUUACAAUGGCAGGUACAGAGGGUUGCUACCCCGCGAGGGGAUGCUAAUCUCAUAAAACCUGUCUCAGUUCGGAUCGGAGUCUGCAACUCGACUCCGUGAAGCUGGA